CAGAGGGGGCAAGCGUUAUUCGGAAUUAUUGGGCGUAAAGGGCGCGUAGGCGGCUUUGCAAGUGGCGGGUGAAAUCCCUCGGCUUAACCGAGGAACUGCCUGCCAGACUGUGAGGCUUGAGACCGGGAGAGGUGAGUGGAAUUCCCAGUGUAGCGGUGAAAUGCGUAGAUAUUGGGAGGAACACCAGUGGCGAAGGCGGCUCACUGGACCGGAACUGACGCUGAGGCGCGAAAGCGUGGGGAGCAAACAGGAUUAGAUACCCUGGUAGUCCACGCCGUAAACGAUGAGUGCUUGGUGUAGCGGGUAUCGACCCCUGCUGUGCCGAAGUCAACACAUUAAGCACUCCGCCUGGGGAGUACGGUCGCAAGACUG
This 372-nucleotide ribosomal RNA is filed under the name uncultured organism. Its description in RNAcentral is "bacterial SSU rRNA". It matches the Rfam family "Bacterial small subunit ribosomal RNA", at positions 526 to 896 of the family's 1533-position model. The record is from RNAcentral.